GAUGAACGCUGGCGGCGUGCCUAAUACAUGCAAGUCGAGCGAACGGACGAGAAGCUUGCUUCUCUGAUGUUAGCGGCGGACGGGUGAGUAACACGUGGAUAACCUACCUAUAAGACUGGGAUAACUUCGGGAAACCGGAGCUAAUACCGGAUAAUAUUUUGAACCGCAUGGUUCAAAAGUGAAAGACGGUCUUGCUGUCACUUAUAGAUGGAUCCGCGCUGCAUUAGCUAGUUGGUAAGGUAACGGCUUACCAAGGCAACGAUGCAUAGCCGACCUGAGAGGGUGAUCGGCCACACUGGAACUGAGACACGGUCCAGACUCCUACGGGAGGCAGCAGUAGGGAAUCUUCCGCAAUGGGCGAAAGCCUGACGGAGCAACGCCGCGUGAGUGAUGAAGGUCUUCGGAUCGUAAAACUCUGUUAUUAGGGAAGAACAUAUGUGUAAGUAACUGUGCACAUCUUGACGGUACCUAAUCAGAAAGCCACGGCUAACUACGUGCCAGCAGCCGCGGUAAUACGUAGGUGGCAAGCGUUAUCCGGAAUUAUUGGGCGUAAAGCGCGCGUAGGGCGGUUUUUUAAGUCUGAUGUGAAAGCCCACGGCUCAACCGUGGAGGGUCAUUGGAAACUGGAAAACUUGAGUGCAGAGAGAAGAAAGUGGAAUUCCAUGUGUAGCGGUGAAAUGCGCAGAGAUAUGGAGGAACACCAGUGGCGAAGGCGACUUUCUGGUCUGUAACUGACGCUGAUGUGCGAAAGCGUGGGGAUCAAACAGGAUUAGAUACCCUGGUAGUCCACGCCGUAAACGAUGAGUGCUAAGUGUUAGGGGGUUUCCGCCCCUUAGUGCUGCAGCUAACGCAUUAAGCACUCCGCCUGGGGAGUACGACCGCAAGGUUGAAACUCAAAGGAAUUGACGGGGACCCGCACAAGCGGUGGAGCAUGUGGUUUAAUUCGAAGCAACGCGAAGAACCUUACCAAAUCUUGACAUCCUUUGACAACUCUAGAGAUAGAGCCUUCCCCUUCGGGGGACAAAGUGACAGGUGGUGCAUGGUUGUCGUCAGCUCGUGUCGUGAGAUGUUGGGUUAAGUCCCGCAACGAGCGCAACCCUUAAGCUUAGUUGCCAUCAUUAAGUUGGGCACUCUAAGUUGACUGCCGGUGACAAACCGGAGGAAGGUGGGGAUGACGUCAAAUCAUCAUGCCCCUUAUGAUUUGGGCUACACACGUGCUACAAUGGACAAUACAAAGGGCAGCGAAACCGCGAGGUCAAGCAAAUCCCAUAAAGUUGUUCUCAGUUCGGAUUGUAGUCUGCAACUCGACUACAUGAAGCUGGAAUCGCUAGUAAUCGUAGAUCAGCAUGCUACGGUGAAUACGUUCCCGGGUCU
RNAcentral lists this ribosomal RNA (1374 nucleotides) under uncultured bacterium. RNAcentral's name for it is "bacterial SSU rRNA". It matches the Rfam family "Bacterial small subunit ribosomal RNA", at positions 28 to 1381 of the family's 1533-position model. The record is from RNAcentral.